CUUAGCUUCUUUAAUACGCUUCACUUCACUCCAAAACCCUAAUACCCAUCUCCUGCAUCCGGUUCUUCCUUCUUCAUCGAUUGAUCUUCGAAAAACAUAGAUUUCUUCAUCUUCAAUCGCGAGUGGAAGCAACCAGUCCUUAUUAUGCGGCGUAUAAGGUUUUCCGAUUAAAUUCACGUAUUGAAGUAGAUUUUGAGCAAUUG
Molecule: long non-coding RNA, 203 nt
Organism: Helianthus annuus (common sunflower)
Lineage: Eukaryota; Viridiplantae; Streptophyta; Magnoliopsida; Asterales; Asteraceae
Exons: 3
Source: RefSeq, a predicted model, not a curated record